Eurytemora carolleeae is the source of this 98-nucleotide long non-coding RNA. RefSeq lists it as uncharacterized. The transcript has 3 exons. The record is from RefSeq and is a predicted model, not a curated record. NCBI's taxonomy places the organism in Eukaryota, Metazoa, Arthropoda, Copepoda, Calanoida, Temoridae.
UCCCAGUUUCAGAUUGGCAAGCUACUUGAAACAACUGGUUCUCUUGGAGCUCUUGUGCACCUCGCAAAAUAUAAGAAAAAUGGUAAAUGGGUUGCCAU